UAGGGAAUCUUCCACAAUGGGCGCAGCCUGAUGGAGCAACACCGCGUGAGUGAAGAAGGGUUUCGGCUCGUAAAGCUCUGUUGUAAGAGAAGAACGUGUGUGAGAGUGGAAAGUUCACACAGUGACGGUAACUUACCAGAAAGGGACGGCUAACUACGUGCCAG
This 164-nucleotide ribosomal RNA is filed under the name uncultured bacterium. RNAcentral describes it as "partial 16S rRNA". It matches the Rfam family "Bacterial small subunit ribosomal RNA", at positions 355 to 511 of the family's 1533-position model. The record is from RNAcentral.